Molecule: ribosomal RNA, 1043 nt
Filed under: uncultured bacterium
Lineage: Bacteria
Description: bacterial SSU rRNA
Rfam family: Bacterial small subunit ribosomal RNA
Source: RNAcentral
AUGGGGGCAACCCUGAUCCAGCAAUGCCGCGUGAGUGAAGAAGGCCUUCGGGUUGUAAAGCUCUUUUGUCAGGGAAGAAAAGGGUCUGGCUAAUAUCCAGAUCUGCUGACGGUACCUGAAGAAUAAGCACCGGCUAACUACGUGCCAGCAGCCGCGGUAAUACGUAGGGUGCAAGCGUUAAUCGGAAUUACUGGGCGUAAAGCGUGCGCAGGCGGUUUCGUAAGUCUGUCGUGAAAUCCCCGGGCUUAACCUGGGAAUGGCGAUGGAGACUGCGAGGCUAGAGUUUGGCAGAGGGGGGUAGAAUUCCACGUGUAGCAGUGAAAUGCGUAGAGAUGUGGAGGAACACCGAUGGCGAAGGCAGCCCCCUGGGUCAAAACUGACGCUCAUGCACGAAAGCGUGGGGAGCAAACAGGAUUAGAUACCCUGGUAGUCCACGCCCUAAACGAUGUCUACUAGUUGUUGGGUCUUAAUUGACUUAGUAACGCAGCUAACGCGUGAAGUAGACCGCCUGGGGAGUACGGUCGCAAGAUUAAAGCUCAAAGGAAUUGACGGGGACCCGCACAAGCGGUGGAUGAUGUGGAUUAAUUCGAUGCAACGCGAAAAACCUUACCUACCCUUGACAUGGCAGGAAUCCCGGAGAGAUCUGGGAGUGCUCGAAAGAGAACCUGCACACAGGUGCUGCAUGGCUGUCGUCAGCUCGUGUCGUGAGAUGUUGGGUUAAGUCCCGCAACGAGCGCAACCCUUGUCAUUAGUUGCUACGCAAGAGCACUCUAAUGAGACUGCCGGUGACAAACCGGAGGAAGGUGGGGAUGACGUCAAGUCCUCAUGGCCCUUAUGGGUAGGGCUUCACACGUCAUACAAUGGUACAUACAGAGGGCCGCCAACCCGCGAGGGGGAGCUAAUCCCAGAAAGUGUAUCGUAGUCCGGAUUGUAGUCUGCAACUCGACUACAUGAAGUUGGAAUCGCUAGUAAUCGCGGAUCAGCAUGUCGCGGUGAAUACGUUCCCGGGUCUUGUACACACCGCCCGUCACACCAUGGGAGCG